Molecule: long non-coding RNA, 916 nt
Filed under: Homo sapiens (human)
Lineage: Eukaryota; Metazoa; Chordata; Mammalia; Primates; Hominidae
Description: long intergenic non-protein coding RNA 1591
Source: RNAcentral
GCGAGCCCUGUCAUGGAAGGCAUCCAGGAGAAUGUGGAACUCCGCACCCGCUUUCUCAGAACAGAGGAGCAUCCAUGACCCUCAGAAUCACAGCAUUGAGAGGUACCACAGGAUGGGCCCCAUGUUUGAAUGGUCUGUGCACUAGGGACCGAGACCCUGAGGACAAGCCUGUGAUUGGUAUGUAUCAACUCCAGGUCUCUGCAUUUGUCCGCGUUCUUCACUGUCAUGUGGCUCCUCCCGAUGUGAUAGCAAAGAUGCCCGUGGACAAACCAGGCUUGGGUCCAUCAUGUUGGCAAUCUGGAGGAAGCCGAGCACUUUUUCUCCAACUGACUCAGUCCCAGGACUGGCUCUCAUUUGCCCAGCUUGUGCAGUGAUGAACCUAUACAAAUUGUGUAAAGCAAAUGUUUUCAGGCAUUGGAUGUCAAGCAGCACAGGACUAUCAACCUGAAGGAAAGAGAAUCACACAAGAUGAGCCUCAUAUUUAUCCUGGCUUUCCGCUUCGGAGCACUCUCUCAACUUCAACACAGAGAAGUGAAACCCAAGUGAAAGAGUAUUGCUAAACCAAGGAGGCAGACCUCAUGUUUGUUCAAGAGUACCCAAGAGAUAGGAUCUGUAAGAGGCACACAGGACCACAUUUGUUCUACCACGCUAUGCUGAAUAUGAGGCAAAAGUUAACACCUGGAAAUUUUGCUAUCCUGAAAUGAGGCAGUGCAUUGUGGAGAAAAAAAGAAUGGACUCUUCUAUUAAAUGAACGUAAGUGAGCAAGCUGUUUAUAAACUAUAAAAGUGACAAAUAUGUAUAAUUAUAUUUAAAUGUUAUCAUUACAAAUUGUUAAGGCAGUAUUGCACCCUACGGGCUUUGGAAACCGUGACCAUUUGCAUUCAUUAUCGAUCAUUGCAUAAAAAUAAUCACAAAA